RNAcentral lists this unclassified non-coding RNA (200 nucleotides) under Auriculariales sp. RNAcentral's name for it is "partial internal transcribed spacer 2". The record is from RNAcentral. Lineage: Eukaryota; Fungi; Basidiomycota; Agaricomycetes; Auriculariales.
UUAAGUUCAGCGGGUAGUCCCGUCUGAUUUGAGGUCAAACGCUUAGAAGGAGUCGACGCCCGAAGACGCCGUUUCACAUUGUAAGCCCGGAGCACUGCUGGUGCAGCGUCACGAAUCCAACUACUUCCAGCGCAGAUAGUAAAUAUCACACCGGUUCGUCGGGCCCGCAUCGCGCAUGGCAUCCGCUGGCACGAUACAUU